UAUUUCUAAUAAAUAAGUUUAUUCCUUUAGAAUGAAAAUCUAACGUGCAAUCUACACUAUAGAAAC
Molecule: transfer RNA, 66 nt
Filed under: Penion maximus
Lineage: Eukaryota; Metazoa; Mollusca; Gastropoda; Neogastropoda; Buccinidae
Description: tRNA-Glu
Source: RNAcentral